UGCGGAGGGUGCGAGCGUUGUCCGGAUUUAUUGGGUUUAAAGGGUGCGUAGGCGGCCGUUUAAGUCUGGGGUGAAAGCCCACUGCUCAACAGUGGAACUGCCCUGGAAACUGCACAGCUUGAGUACAGACGAGGUUGGCGGAAUGGAUGCUGUAGCGGUGAAAUGCAUAGAUAGCAUCCAGAACCCCGAUUGCGAAGGCAGCUGACUAGGCUGUAACUGACGCUGAGGCACGAAAGCGUGGGGAGCGAACAGG
This 253-nucleotide ribosomal RNA is filed under the name uncultured bacterium. Its description in RNAcentral is "partial 16S ribosomal RNA". It matches the Rfam family "Bacterial small subunit ribosomal RNA", at positions 524 to 776 of the family's 1533-position model. The record is from RNAcentral.